Molecule: ribosomal RNA, 486 nt
Filed under: uncultured bacterium
Lineage: Bacteria
Description: partial 16S ribosomal RNA
Rfam family: Bacterial small subunit ribosomal RNA
Source: RNAcentral
AUUGAACGCUGGCGGCAUGCCUUACACAUGCAAGUCGAACGGCAGCACGGGUGCUUGCACCUGGUGGCGAGUGGCGAACGGGUGAGUAAUACAUCGGAACAUGUCCUGUAGUGGGGGAUAGCCCGGCGAAAGCCGGAUUAAUACCGCAUACGAUCUACGGAUGAAAGCGGGGGACCUUCGGGCCUCGCGCUAUAGGGUUGGCCGAUGGCUGAUUAGCUAGUUGGUGGGGUAAAGGCCUACCAAGGCGACGAUCAGUAGCUGGUCUGAGAGGACGACCAGCCAAACUGGGACUGAGACACGGCCCAGACUCCUACGGGAGGCAGCAGUGGGGAAUUUUGGACAAUGGGCGAAAGCCUGAUCCAGCAAUGCCGCGUGUGUGAAGAAGGCCUUCGGGUUGUAAAGCACUUUUGUCCGGAAAGAAAUCCUUGGCCCUAAUACGGUCGGGGGAUGACGGUACCGGAAGAAUAAGCACCGGCUAACUACGUG